RNAcentral lists this long non-coding RNA (218 nucleotides) under Elaeis guineensis (African oil palm). RNAcentral's name for it is "long non-coding RNA (EGUI_LNC039392)". Lineage: Eukaryota; Viridiplantae; Streptophyta; Magnoliopsida; Arecales; Arecaceae. The record is from RNAcentral.
AUUUUGGAGAGGUGAUGUGCCGAUUUGGAGAAAAUGGGUAGAAUCUAGGGUAAGCUCGAACCGUCCCAAAUGAGGAGGGAAGAGAAGAGGAACUUGGUUCCUAAAUGGUCGAUUUGAAGGAUGAAAAUGAGUGGGAGAAGAGAUUUGAGAGUAAUCUAGGUUUGAGGGAGAAGAGAUGGAGAGCCUUAGGUUUGGAGGGAGGAAGAAGGUGGAGAGCU